GGUCCCCUGCCAUUUGUCUAUAAUGUCCUCUAAUGUACUUGUAAAGUGUAAUCAUGUCCCCUCGCAAGCGCCUUUUUUCCAGAGAAAACAACCCCAACCUUGACAGUCUACCCUCAUUCAAGUCUUGAAGCCGCGAAAAGAACUGAAGCCAAGAAAGGGACUGAAGCCGCGAAAAGACCUACACUAAACGAGCCAAAGCUGCAAAAAGACCCGAAGCCACGAAAGGAGCCUAAGACACACCUCUCAGCAAAGCUGAACCAGGGAAGGAGAGUGGGGGCUCCAUGAAGAUAUGUGUUCCCUCCCAGAGUGAUACAUGCCACUAACAUGACACAAGAGAAUAAAGAGGGUACAAAAGGGGAAAGGAAAGAAGAGAAUU
Molecule: long non-coding RNA, 376 nt
Organism: Xenopus laevis (African clawed frog)
Lineage: Eukaryota; Metazoa; Chordata; Amphibia; Anura; Pipidae
Exons: 2
Source: RefSeq, a predicted model, not a curated record